RNAcentral lists this long non-coding RNA (314 nucleotides) under Physcomitrium patens. Its description in RNAcentral is "long non-coding RNA (PPAT_LNC001666)". The record is from RNAcentral. Lineage: Eukaryota; Viridiplantae; Streptophyta; Bryopsida; Funariales; Funariaceae.
AAUCAACAACAACAACAGCAAUACACGGCCAGAAUAUCGUCUACGACGCACCGCAAGCCUUCUAUGACCCGCAAGAGCCACUGUACUCCAAUUACUCCUACUCACAGCCUGAGUCCUACCGUGAGUCCUACUCUGAGUCUCAACCAUACCCACAGUCUGAACCUUUCUCACAGCCGUCGUUCUUAAAGUCGGCCCAUUCUGGAUCGACAUUUUCUGAAUACAAUGACUCUAACCAUAGCUCAUAUACAUACUUCGAUGACUCGUGUCAGUCGUUUUAUCCCUCAGUGCAGACUUCCAGCUCCAAACCAGCCAGU